GUGAGGGUUUGGAUUUAUGGCAGGUCCAUCCCUCUGGGCCUCUCAUCGUGUCCCAUGCUAGAGCACACUGGCCCCAAACCAUUGCCCAGUCUCUGCCUGUGGGCUGCUGGCACUGAAGGGGUUGCACAGGG
Tupaia belangeri (northern tree shrew) is the source of this 131-nucleotide small nucleolar RNA. Lineage: Eukaryota; Metazoa; Chordata; Mammalia; Scandentia; Tupaiidae. The record is from Ensembl.